This 484-nucleotide ribosomal RNA is filed under the name uncultured bacterium. Its description in RNAcentral is "partial 16S ribosomal RNA". It matches the Rfam family "Bacterial small subunit ribosomal RNA", at positions 30 to 507 of the family's 1533-position model. The record is from RNAcentral.
AUUGAACGCUGGCGGCAGGCCUAACACAUGCAAGUCGAGCGGAUGAAGGGAGCUUGCUCCUGGAUUCCGCGGCGGACGGGUGAGUAAUGCCUAGGAAUCUGCCUGGUAGUGGGGGAUAACGUCCGGAAACGGGCGCUAAUACCGCAUACGUCCUGAGGGAGAAAGUGGGGGAUCUUCGGACCUCACGCUAUCAGAUGAGCCUAGGUCGGAUUAGCUAGUUGGUGGGGUAAAGGCCUACCAAGGCGACGAUCCGUAACUGGUCUGAGAGGAUGAUCAGUCACACUGGAACUGAGACACGGUCCAGACUCCUACGGGAGGCAGCAGUGGGGAAUAUUGGACAAUGGGCGAAAGCCUGAUGCAGCCAUGCCGCGUGUGUGAAGAAGGUCUUCGGAUUGUAAAGCUCUUUAAGUUGGGAGGAAGGGCAGUAAGUGAAUACCUGGCUGUUUUGACGUUACCAACAGAGUAAGCACCGGCUAACUACGUG